GACGAACGCUGGCGGCGUGCUUAACACAUGCAAGUCGAACGGAAAGGCCCUGCUUUUGUGGGGUGCUCGAGUGGCGAACGGGUGAGUAACACGUGAGUAACCUGCCCUUGACUUUGGGAUAACUUCAGGAAACUGGGGCUAAUACCGGAUAGGAGCUCCUGCUGCAUGGUGGGGGUUGGAAAGUUUCGGCGGUUGGGGAUGGACUCGCGGCUUAUCAGCUUGUUGGUGGGGUAGUGGCUUACCAAGGCUUUGACGGGUAGCCGGCCUGAGAGGGUGACCGGGCACAUUGGGACUGAGAUACGGAACAGAGUACAACGGGAGGCAGGAGUGGGGAAUAUUGCACAAUGGGCGGAAGCCUGAUGAAGAAACGCCGCGUGCGGGAUGACGGCCUUCGGGUUGUAAACCGAUUUCGCCUGUGACGAAGCGUGAGUGACGGUAAUGGGUAAAGAAGCACCGGCUAACUACGUG
RNAcentral lists this ribosomal RNA (468 nucleotides) under uncultured bacterium. RNAcentral describes it as "partial 16S ribosomal RNA". It matches the Rfam family "Bacterial small subunit ribosomal RNA", at positions 28 to 507 of the family's 1533-position model. The record is from RNAcentral.